RNAcentral lists this ribosomal RNA (526 nucleotides) under uncultured bacterium. Its description in RNAcentral is "bacterial SSU rRNA". It matches the Rfam family "Bacterial small subunit ribosomal RNA", at positions 777 to 1304 of the family's 1533-position model. The record is from RNAcentral.
AAUAGAUACCCUGGUAGUCCACGCCGUAAACGGUGGGCACUAGAUGUGGGGUUCUUUCCAUGAGUUCCGCGUCGCAGCUAACGCAUUAAGUGCCCCGCCUGGGGAGUACGGCCGCAAGGCUAAAACUCAAAGGAAUUGACGGGGGCCCGCACAAGCGGCGGAGCAUGCGGAUUAAUUCGAUGCAACGCGAAGAACCUUACCAAGGCUUGACAUAUACGGUCUAUCCCUAGAGAUAGGGAUGCUUCGGCGCCGUAUACAGGUGGUGCAUGGUUGUCGUCAGCUCGUGUCGUGAGAUGUUGGGUUAAGUCCCGCAACGAGCGCAACCCUCGUCCUAUGUUGCCAGCGGAUAAUGCCGGGGACUCAUGGGAGACUGCCGGGGUCAACUCGGAGGAAGGUGGGGAUGAGGUCAAAUCAUCAUGCCCCUUAUGUCUUGGGCUUCACGCAUGCUACAAUGGCCGGUACAAAGGGCUGCAAUACCGCGAGGUGGAGCGAAUCCCAAAAAGCCGGUCUCAGUUCGGAUUGAGGU